AAAAAGAACCUGAAACCGUGUACGUACAAGCAGUGGGAGCACGCUUAGGCGUGUGACUGCGUACCUUUUGUAUAAUGGGUCAGCGACUUAUAUUCUGUAGCAAGGUUAACCGAAUAGGGGAGCCGAAGGGAAACCGAGUCUUAACUGGGCGUUAAGUUGCAGGGUAUAGACCCGAAACCCGGUGAUCUAGCCAUGGGCAGGUUGAAGGUUGGGUAACACUAACUGGAGGACCGAACCGACUAAUGUUGAAAAAUUAGCGGAUGACUUGUGGCUGGGGGUGAAAGGCCAAUCAAACCGGGAGAUAGCUGGUUCUCCCCGAAAGCUAUUUAGGUAGCGCCUCGUGAAUUCAUCUCCGGGGGUAGAGCACUGUUUCGGCAAGGGGGUCAUCCCGACUUACCAACCCGAUGCAAACUGCGAAUACCGGAGAAUGUUAUCACGGGAGACACACGGCGGGUGCUAACGUCCGUCGUGAAGAGGGAAACAACCCAGACCGCCAGCUAAGGUCCCAAAGUCAUGGUUAAGUGGGAAACGAUGUGGGAAGGCCCAGACAGCCAGGAUGUUGGCUUAGAAGCAGCCAUCAUUUAAAGAAAGCGUAAUAGCUCACUGGUCGAGUCGGCCUGCGCGGAAGAUGUAACGGGGCUAAACCAUGCACCGAAGCUGCGGCAGCGACGCUUAUGCGUUGUUGGGUAGGGGAGCGUUCUGUAAGCCUGCGAAGGUGUGCUGUGAGGCAUGCUGGAGGUAUCAGAAGUGCGAAUGCUGACAUAAGUAACGAUAAAGCGGGUGAAAAGCCCGCUCGCCGGAAGACCAAGGGUUCCUGUCCAACGUUAAUCGGGGCAGGGUGAGUCGACCCCUAAGGCGAGGCCGAAAGGCGUAGUCGAUGGGAAACAGGUUAAUAUUCCUGUACUUGGUGUUACUGCGAAGGGGGGACGGAGAAGGCUAUGUUGGCCGGGCGACGGUUGUCCCGGUUUAAGCGUGUAGGCUGGUUUUCCAGGCAAAUCCGGAAAAUCAAGGCUGAGGCGUGAUGACGAGGCACUACGGUGCUGAAGCAACAAAUGCCCUGCUUCCAGGAAAAGCCUCUAAGCAUCAGGUAACAUCAAAUCGUACCCCAAACCGACACAGGUGGUCAGGUAGAGAAUACCAAGGCGCUUGAGAGAACUCGGGUGAAGGAACUAGGCAAAAUGGUGCCGUAACUUCGGGAGAAGGCACGCUGAUAUGUAGGUGAAGUCCCUUGCGGAUGGAGCUGAAAUCAGUCGAAGAUACCAGCUGGCUGCAACUGUUUAUUAAAAACACAGCACUGUGCAAACACGAAAGUGGACGUAUACGGUGUGACGCCUGCCCGGUGCCGGAAGGUUAAUUGAUGGGGUCAGCGCAAGCGAAGCUCUUGAUCGAAGCCCCGGUAAACGGCGGCCGUAACUAUAACGGUCCUAAGGUAGCGAAAUUCCUUGUCGGGUAAGUUCCGACCUGCACGAAUGGCGUAAUGAUGGCCAGGCUGUCUCCACCCGAGACUCAGUGAAAUUGAACUCGCUGUGAAGAUGCAGUGUACCCGCGGCAAGACGGAAAGACCCCGUGAACCUUUACUAUAGCUUGACACUGAACAUUGAGCCUUGAUGUGUAGGAUAGGUGGGAGGCUUUGAAGUGUGGACGCCAGUCUGCAUGGAGCCGGCCUUGAAAUACCACCCUUUAAUGUUUGAUGUUCUAACGUGGACCCGUGAUCCGGGUUGCGGACAGUGUCUGGUGGGUAGUUUGACUGGGGCGGUCUCCUCCUAAAGAGUAACGGAGGAGCACGAAGGUUGGCUAAUCCUGGUCGGACAUCAGGAGGUUAGUGCAAUGGCAUAAGCCAGCUUGACUGCGAGCGUGACGGCGCGAGCAGGUGCGAAAGCAGGUCAUAGUGAUCCGGUGGUUCUGAAUGGAAGGGCCAUCGCUCAACGGAUAAAAGGUACUCCGGGGAUAACAGGCUGAUACCGCCCAAGAGUUCAUAUCGACGGCGGUGUUUGGCACCUCGAUGUCGGCUCAUCACAUCCUGGGGCUGAAGUAGGUCCCAAGGGUAUGGCUGUUCGCCAUUUAAAGUGGUACGCGAGCUGGGUUUAGAACGUCGUGAGACAGUUCGGUCCCUAUCUGCCGUGGGCGCUGGAGAACUGAGGGGGGCUGCUCCUAGUACGAGAGGACCGGAGUGGACGCAUCACUGGUGUUCGGGUUGUCAUGCCAAUGGCACUGCCCGGUAGCUAAAUGCGGAAGAGAUAAGUGCUGAAAGCAUCUAAGCACGAAACUUGCCCCGAGAUGAGUUCUCCCUGACCCUUUAAGGGUCCUGAAGGAACGUUGAAGACGACGACGUUGAUAGGCCGGGUGUGUAAGCGCAGCGAUGCGUUGAGCUAACCGGUACUAAUGAACCGUGAGGCUUAACCUUACAACGCCGAAG
This 2416-nucleotide ribosomal RNA is filed under the name Shigella sonnei. RNAcentral's name for it is "bacterial LSU rRNA". It matches the Rfam family "Bacterial large subunit ribosomal RNA", at positions 541 to 2925 of the family's 2925-position model. Lineage: Bacteria; Pseudomonadati; Pseudomonadota; Gammaproteobacteria; Enterobacterales; Enterobacteriaceae. The record is from RNAcentral.